CGUAGGGUGCGAGCGUUAAUCGGAAUUACUGGGCGUAAAGCGUGCGCAGGCGGUUUUGUAAGACAGGCGUGAAAUCCCCGGGCUCAACCUGGGAACUGCGCUUGUGACUGCAAGGCUAGAGUACGGCAGAGGGGGUGGAAUUCCACGUGUAGCAGUGAAAUGCGUAGAGAUGUGGAGGAACACCAAUGGCGAAGGCAGCCCCCUGGGUCGAUACUGACGCUCAUGCACGAAAGCGUGGGUAGCAAACAGGAUUAGAUACCCUGGUAGUCCACGCCCUAAACGAUGUCAACUAGGUGUUGGGUGGGUAAAACCAUUUAGUACCGGAGCUAACGCGUGAAGUUGACCGCCGUGGGGAGUACGGCCGCAAGGUUA
RNAcentral lists this ribosomal RNA (372 nucleotides) under uncultured organism. RNAcentral describes it as "bacterial SSU rRNA". It matches the Rfam family "Bacterial small subunit ribosomal RNA", at positions 526 to 896 of the family's 1533-position model. The record is from RNAcentral.